This 495-nucleotide ribosomal RNA is filed under the name uncultured bacterium. RNAcentral's name for it is "partial 16S ribosomal RNA". It matches the Rfam family "Bacterial small subunit ribosomal RNA", at positions 28 to 507 of the family's 1533-position model. The record is from RNAcentral.
GACGAACGCUGGUGGCGUGCCUAAUACAUGCAAGUAGAACGCUGAAGGAGGAGCUUGCUUCUCUGGAUGAGUUGCGAACGGGUGAGUAACGCGUAGGUAACCUGCCUGGUAGCGGGGGAUAACUAUUGGAAACGAUAGCUAAUACCGCAUAAGAGUAGAUGUCGCAUGACAUUUGCUUAAAAGGUGCAAUUGCAUCACUACCAGAUGGACCUGCGUUGUAUUAGCUAGUUGGUGAGGUAACGGCUCACCAAGGCAACGAUACAUAGCCGACCUGAGAGGGGGAUCGGCCACACUGGGACUGAGACACGGCCCAGACUCCUACGGGAGGCAGCAGGAGGGAAACUUCGGCAAUGGACGGAAGUCUGACCGAGCAACGCCGCGUGAGUGAAGAAGGGUGUCGGAUCGGAAAGCCCUGUUGUAAGAGAAGAACGAGUGUGAGAGUGGAAAGUUCACACUGUGACGGUAUCUUACCAGAAAGGGACGGCUAACUACGUG